GAUGAACGCCGGCGGUGUGCCUAAUACAUGCAAGUCGUACGCACUGGCCCAACUAAUUGAUGGUGCUUGCACCUGAUUGACGAUGGAUCACCAGUGAGUGGCGAACGGGUGAGUAACACGUAGGUAACCUGCCCAUGUGCCCGGGAUAAUUUCUGGAAACGGAAACUAAAACCGGAUAGGUAGGGAUCUCGCAUGAGGACCUUAUUAAAGGGGCUGCGGCCCUGAACAUGGAUGGACCUGCGGUGCAUUAGCUGGUUGGUGGGGUAACGGCCUACCAAGGCGACGAUGCAUAGCCGACCUGAGAGGGCGAACGGCCACAUUGGGACUGAGACACGGCCCAA
RNAcentral lists this ribosomal RNA (341 nucleotides) under uncultured bacterium. RNAcentral's name for it is "bacterial SSU rRNA". It matches the Rfam family "Bacterial small subunit ribosomal RNA", at positions 28 to 334 of the family's 1533-position model. The record is from RNAcentral.